AACGCGAAGAACCUUACCUGGGUUUGACAUGCACAGGACGCUGGUAGAGAUAUCAGUUCCCUUGUGGCCUGUGUGCAGGUGGUGCAUGGCUGUCGUCAGCUCGUGUCGUGAGAUGUUGGGUUAAGUCCCGCAACGAGCGCAACCCUUGUCUCAUGUUGCCAGCGGGUAAUGCCGGGGACUCGUGAGAGACUGCCGGGGUCAACUCGGAGGAAGGUGGGGAUGACGUCAAGUCAUCAUGCCCCUUAUGUCCAGGGCUUCACACAUGCUACAAUGGCCGGUACAAAGGGCUGCGAUGCCGUGAGGUUAAGCGAAUCCUUUAAAGCCGGUCUCAGUUCGGAUCGGGGUCUGCAACUCGACCCCGUGAAGUCGGAGUCGCUAGUAAUCGCAGAUCAGCAACGCUGCGGUGAAUACGUUCCCGGGCCUUGUA
RNAcentral lists this ribosomal RNA (427 nucleotides) under uncultured Actinomycetes bacterium. RNAcentral's name for it is "bacterial SSU rRNA". It matches the Rfam family "Bacterial small subunit ribosomal RNA", at positions 958 to 1385 of the family's 1533-position model. The record is from RNAcentral. Lineage: Bacteria; Bacillati; Actinomycetota; Actinomycetes.